This is a long non-coding RNA of Chiroxiphia lanceolata (lance-tailed manakin), 142 nucleotides long. RefSeq lists it as uncharacterized. The record is from RefSeq and is a predicted model, not a curated record. The transcript is spliced from 3 exons. Lineage: Eukaryota; Metazoa; Chordata; Aves; Passeriformes; Pipridae.
UGGCUUCCCACUGACACAGGGCAGGCUUAGAUGGGAUACUUGGGAGAAAUCCUUCCCUGUGAGGGUGGGGAGGCCCUGGCACAGGUUGCCCAGAGAAGCUGUGGCUGCCCCUGGAUCCCUGCAAGUGUCCAAGGCCAGGUUG